This is a long non-coding RNA of Pomacea canaliculata, 482 nucleotides long. RefSeq lists it as uncharacterized. The record is from RefSeq and is a predicted model, not a curated record. The transcript has 2 exons. NCBI's taxonomy places the organism in Eukaryota, Metazoa, Mollusca, Gastropoda, Architaenioglossa, Ampullariidae.
CAUGCACCGCCGAGGUCACAGCCAACCGACAGAUAUAAAAAAUGCAGCGACUGAAGAAAGAUAAUUAUCGAAGCCCUCGACGAUACUAGACCACAGAUCGACAAUGAAGUUUGUCUACCUCAGCCUCGUUCUUCUCCUUGUUGCUACCUUCACUUGUAAAGCCGACCAUUGUCCUGACGGCUACUCGGACACUGUCCCCGCCCACUGUCACGUGGACGAGAUUGACAGGCGGGAGUGCGCCGCUGACAACGACUGUGGAGGCAAUGGCAGAGAUUGCUGUUUCCCUAACAACGGGUGCGACUCAAGGUGCGUCACUCACUGACCGGGUGUCCACUCGCAGGACAGGGGCGCUGAGUCCAGCUGACCACUCACCAGACUUGUUUACAAAGCUGUUGCUGACAAAGACAUGUUUAUUAAAGCAACAUCAGAUGCUCACCCUGAGUAACGAUUCUUUUCAAUAAAUGUGAUUGUACAGAUUAUUA